Molecule: long non-coding RNA, 1480 nt
Organism: Salvia miltiorrhiza (redroot sage)
Lineage: Eukaryota; Viridiplantae; Streptophyta; Magnoliopsida; Lamiales; Lamiaceae
Exons: 5
Source: RefSeq, a predicted model, not a curated record
AAAUUAUUCCGUCUCUAUUCUACGACGGAAUUACCGACGGAAUACCGACAGAAAUGAGUUCUUUGAUAUACCAUCGGAAUUACCGACGGAAUUACGACGGAAAAUAGCGCGUUAAUUUUGCGGUCAAUCAACGACGGAAACAACGACGGAUUAACGACGGCACAUAUUAACGACGGAAAUCAUUACGUCGUUGUUUCAAUUUUUAAAUUUUAUUUUCUGAAUUUUAAAGGAAAUAACGACGGAAUAGUGUCCGUCGUUGAUUUAACGACGGCGGUAACGACGGACAGACGUUAUACACUAAAAAUAACGACGGAAUGGUGUUUCCGUCGGUGGGCCCUAAUAAAACUAGGCCACGGGUUUCCCCCUUCUUCAAAAUUCAUUCAUAUUUGUAAAAGAGCUCGCCGCCCCUUCAUUCUCCAAAAUCGACGCCUCUUCCUCAAAUCGGACAAACGCCGCCGUUGGAGCUCGCCGAACCUGCGCGCCGCUGGAGAACGCCGUCGAUCUGGCCGAUUUCCCGCUGAGUUGUUCCCGGUGAAGGUUCGCAGCCGCCGUCCUCUGUUUCGUCUGUAGCGCUCCUCUGCCGGCAGGCUCUCUUCUCCGCCACGACGCCGACUCCGCCACCACACCGUCGACAUCGUCCAUCAAUGGGAAUUCGGUUGAAGAAUCGAUUUGUAAACUUUUUAAAUCCCAAGUUGCUGAUUGUUGCUGUCGGAGAGUGUCGUGCGCCGGAGACUGCCGCCGGAGGCCGUCCUCCUCUGUUCUCGUCUGAAGAGCUCCGCCGCUGCUGCCGAAUACUCAUCUCCAGUAUACCACUCCAUCCUUGAUUCUUGAGGAAUAAAGAAACUAGUCGAGGACAACAAGAGAAAAGAACGAGUAAAAAACAAGAUGUCUUUGUUGGUAUGAAGCUCAUGCAGAUUGGAGGAUUGACCUUGGCUAGAGCAAGAAUGGAGCAAGAUUGCAGAAAGAAUGGAUGAAUUAGUUGCUUCUCAGAGUCAGCAUGUGGAUGAUGAUUCUGAUCCGCCAGAGAUCGAUAUGAACAAGGUGUACGUGGAGGCUGUUAGUGGACUCGACAAAAAGAAGAGAAUGUUUGGAUUUGGUGGACUUGCAGCCAGCUAUAGGAGUAGUGAGCAGUCGAGUGGUACAUCUCAGUUUCAGGGCCCUACUGUCAAUCCACAACGACUUGUGGAUGUGGAGUUGCAGUUGCAGGAUGCCUUAGCGGCGAUAGAACGUCAGAAAGAGGAGAUGAGGCAGAAAGAUGAGCAGACCGAGGCUCGAUUUGAGGCUCAACAGCGUAUGUUCGAGCAGAUAUUGGCUAGGCUUCCACCUGGACCGACUCCACCCUCUGGACCAUCAUUUUCACUAUUAUGUUUGUGUUUUUGUAUUUGAAUACUUGAAUGUUUCUAUUAUGUUUUUGAACAGUUGGAUAUUUUAUGUUAUGUUAUGAAGAUUUGAAUGUCAGUUUAAAUUUUAAUAUUUUACA